RNAcentral lists this ribosomal RNA (216 nucleotides) under Rhinesomus triqueter (smooth trunkfish). Its description in RNAcentral is "partial small subunit ribosomal RNA". It matches the Rfam family "Bacterial small subunit ribosomal RNA", at positions 492 to 794 of the family's 1533-position model. The record is from RNAcentral. Lineage: Eukaryota; Metazoa; Chordata; Actinopteri; Tetraodontiformes; Ostraciidae.
GUCGGUAAAACUCGUGCCAGCCACCGCGGUUAUACGAGAGGCCCAAGUUGUUAGUUGCCGGCGUAAAGCGUGGUUAAAAUUAAUUCAUAACUAAAGCCGAACACUUACAAAGCUGUUAUACGCAUCCGAAAGUAAGAAGAUCAAUUACGAAAGUAGCUUUACCCAUUUGAACCCACGAAAGCUACGGCACAAACUGGGAUUAGAUACCCCACUAUG